GGCUCUGUUGGCAGUUGUUUGUCUUGAAAACAAGCUAAGGGUGUUCGAAUCAUCCGAGAGCUU
RNAcentral lists this transfer RNA (63 nucleotides) under Sinonovacula constricta (Chinese razor clam). RNAcentral's name for it is "tRNA-Ser". The record is from RNAcentral. Lineage: Eukaryota; Metazoa; Mollusca; Bivalvia; Cardiida; Solecurtidae.